This 508-nucleotide ribosomal RNA is filed under the name Boophis fayi. RNAcentral describes it as "partial 16S ribosomal RNA". It matches the Rfam family "Bacterial large subunit ribosomal RNA", at positions 1924 to 2599 of the family's 2925-position model. The record is from RNAcentral. Lineage: Eukaryota; Metazoa; Chordata; Amphibia; Anura; Mantellidae.
UUAACGGCCGCGGUACCCUAACCGUGCGAAGGUAGCAUAAUCACUUGUUCUUUAAAUGAGGACCUGUAUCAACGGCAUCACGAGGAUCCUACUGUCUCCCCCCUCCAAUCAGUGAAACUAAUCUCCCCGUGAAGAAGCGGGGAUAAAAAUAUAAGACGAGAAGACCCCAUGGAGCUUUAAACCUAGCAACACCCGCUUAGUCCAUACCCUUUUAUCUGCCCGGUCCCUGUCUGCUCAGUUUUAGGUUGGGGUGACCACGGAGUAUAAAACAACCUCCAUGAAAAAGGGGAUAUUUCCCUUAUUAGAGAACUACAUUUCCAAAAACUAAUAAAUUAAUUUUAAAUGAUCCGAUAGUCGAUCAACGAACCAAGUUACCCUGGGGAUAACAGCGCAAUCCACCCCGAGAGCCCCUAUCGACAGGUGGGUUUACGACCUCGAUGUUGGAUCAGGGUAUCCCAGUGGUGCAGCAGCUACCAAAGGUUCGUUUGUUCAACGAUUAAAACCCUAC